CCUACGGGGAGGCAGCAGUGAGGAAUAUUGGUCAAUGGGCUUACGCCUGAACCAGCCAAGUCGCGUGAGGGAAGACUGCCCUAUGGGUUGUAAACCUCUUUUGUCAGGGAGCAAUUGGCGCUACGUGUAGCGUUAUCGAGAGUACCUGAAGAAAAAGCAUCGGCUAACUCCGUGCCAGCAGCCGCGGUAAUACGGAGGAUGCGAGCGUGAUCCGGAUUUAUUGGGUUUAAAGGGUGCGUAGGCGGAAUGCCAAGGCGGCGGUAAAAUCGCGGGGCUCAACCUCGCUCCGCCGUUGAAACUGGCGGUCUUGAGUGGGCGAGAGGUAUGCGGAAUGCGUGGUGUAGCGGUGAAAUGCAUAGAUAUCACGCAGAACUCCGAUUGCGAAGGCAGCAUACCGGCGCCCAACUGACGCUGAAGCACGAAAGCGUGGGUAUCGAACAGGAUUAGAUACCCGGGUAGUC
RNAcentral lists this ribosomal RNA (461 nucleotides) under uncultured bacterium. Its description in RNAcentral is "partial 16S ribosomal RNA". It matches the Rfam family "Bacterial small subunit ribosomal RNA", at positions 338 to 795 of the family's 1533-position model. The record is from RNAcentral.